GGGAAAGCUUUAGAGUCCAACAGCCAUCUGUUUAUACACUGUCCUUUGACUACUCAAUUGUGGAUUUUGUUUCUUAACUUGGCAGGCUUAGUAAGACUAUGCAUGCUAGUUCUGCUGAUCUGCUAAGAGCUUGGAACAAUAAGACGGACACAGUGAGACAGAAAGAGUGGUGGAGGUUGGUCCCUGCUUGCAUAUGGUGGUCAAUACGGAAAGAGAGGAACUCAAGAUUUUUUGAAGAUAAAUACAAUUCAUUGCAAAAUGUUAAGAUGAAUUGUAUCCUUUAGAUUUAUUUUGUGUAAACAAAGCAAUUUAGAGAGUACAG
RNAcentral lists this unclassified non-coding RNA (322 nucleotides) under Hevea brasiliensis (rubber tree). Lineage: Eukaryota; Viridiplantae; Streptophyta; Magnoliopsida; Malpighiales; Euphorbiaceae. The record is from RNAcentral.